GUAAUGCGCUGGAGGAGAGCCAAGCGGGAGUUUCCCUGGACAAGCCAUCGGAACAGAGUAGCCUGGGCUUCUUGGAAAUCUGAGUGUGUCCCCAAACCGCCGCCUCUGGUGUACAACCAAAGGAGGAGUCACGACUGUUCCAGUGCUGGAGGGAAAGCUGGCUGAGAGAACCCGUUCUGUCCCCAGCGCGACUGGAUUGCUGACUCUGAUGGCAGACUCUUUGCCGGCUGAGCUGUGAGGGAGCCCCCUGGAUAGUAUAGGAAGCUAUAUGAAGGCCCUGUGACGGUGUGCGAUGGACCAGAGUCUCAGAAGGAGCAUAUGGAGAAGACAUGGAGAAACAGGCAUCGUGCCAGCACCUAGAGCGACCGCAGCGCCGCUCAGCACGCGCUUAGACACGCCACGAAGACACUCGCCGGUCUGCCUGGACGUGGAGCAUUGUCCAGCGAGAAACCUCCAGCAUAAAACUUCACAAACCACUUUGAACACAUUGAAACACUGUGGGCUCUGGGGAUGCCUGGACCCCCCAAAACUGGAAAAGGCAGGAAGGAGCCUGGGAGAGCCUCUGGAGGGAGCGCUGUGCUGGGACACCCUGACCUCAGACAUCUGGUCUCCAGGACUGACCAGGGGCAGGCUUCUGUUGCUCCAAGCAUCUGUGUGUGGUCGUUUGUCUCCACCGCCCCAGGAAGCUCAUGCAGCUGGAUGUAACGAAAGUCUUUAA
RNAcentral lists this long non-coding RNA (718 nucleotides) under Ovis aries (sheep). Its description in RNAcentral is "lncRNA (ENSOARG00000025870.1)". Lineage: Eukaryota; Metazoa; Chordata; Mammalia; Artiodactyla; Bovidae. The record is from RNAcentral.